GACGAACCGAGCGAACGUUGUUCGGAAUCACUGGGCUUAAAGGGCGCGUAGGCGGGUUCUCAAGUCCGGGGUGAAAUCCCACAGCUCAACUGUGGAACUGCCUCGGAUACUGGGAGUCUCGAGGGUGGCAGGGGUAUGCGGAACUAUCGGUGGAGCGGUGAAAUGCGUUGAUAUCGAUAGGAACUCCGGUGGCGAAGGCGGCAUACUGGUCCACUUCUGACGCUGAGGCGCGAAAACCAGGGGAGCAAACGGG
This 253-nucleotide ribosomal RNA is filed under the name uncultured bacterium. RNAcentral's name for it is "partial 16S ribosomal RNA". It matches the Rfam family "Bacterial small subunit ribosomal RNA", at positions 524 to 776 of the family's 1533-position model. The record is from RNAcentral.